GCGUAGAUAUAUGGAGGACACCAGUGGCGAAGGCGGCUCUCUGGUCUGCAACUGACGCUGAGGCUCGAAAGCAUGGGUAGCGAACAGGAUUAGAUACCCUGGUAGUCCAUGCCGUAAACGAUGAGUGCUAAGUGUUGGAGGGUUUCCGCCCCUCAGUGCUGCAGCUAACGCAUUAAGCACUCCGCCUGGGGAGUACGACCGCAAGGUUGAAACUCAAAGGAAUUGACGGGGGCCCGCACAAGCGGUGGAGCAUGUGGUUUAAUUCGAAGCAACGCGAAGAACCUUACCAGGUCUUGACAUCUUGUGGAAACCUUAAAAAUAAGGAUUUCCCUUCGGGGACACAAAGACAGGGGGGGCAUGGGUGUCGCCACCUCGUGUCGUGAGAUGUUGGGUUAAGUCCCCCAACGAGCGCAACCCUUGUUAUUAUUUGCCAGCAUUUAGUUGGGCACUCUAUAGAGACUGCCGGUGACAAACCGGAGGAAGGUGGGGAUGACAUCAAAUCAUCAUGCCCCUUAUAACAUUGGGGCUAA
RNAcentral lists this ribosomal RNA (530 nucleotides) under uncultured Lactobacillales bacterium. Its description in RNAcentral is "bacterial SSU rRNA". It matches the Rfam family "Bacterial small subunit ribosomal RNA", at positions 688 to 1217 of the family's 1533-position model. Lineage: Bacteria; Bacillati; Bacillota; Bacilli; Lactobacillales. The record is from RNAcentral.